RNAcentral lists this ribosomal RNA (479 nucleotides) under uncultured bacterium. Its description in RNAcentral is "bacterial SSU rRNA". It matches the Rfam family "Bacterial small subunit ribosomal RNA", at positions 328 to 793 of the family's 1533-position model. The record is from RNAcentral.
UGACAGUACUCCUACGGGGAGGCAGCAGUGGGGGAAUAUUGCACAAUGGGCGCAAGCCUGAUGCAGCCAUGCCGCGUGUGUGAAGAAGGACCUUCGGGUUGUAAAGCACUUUCAGUCGUGAGGAAGGUAGUGUAGUUAAUAGCUGCAUUAUUUGACGUUAGCGACAGAAGAAGCACCGGCUAACUCCGUGCCAGCAGCCGCGGUAAUACGGAGGGUGCGAGCGUUAAUCGGAAUUACUGGGCGUAAAGCGCAUGCAGGUGGUUUGUUAAGUCAGAUGUGAAAGACCCGGGGCUCAACCUCGGAAUAGCAUUUGAAACUGGCAGACUAGAGUACUGUAGAGGGGGGUAGGAAUUUCAGGUGUAGCGGUGAAAUGCGUAGAGAUCUGAAGGAAUACCGGUGGCGAAGGCGGCCCCCUCGGACAGAUACUGACACUCAGAUGCGAAAGCGUGGGGAGCAAACAGGAUUAGAUACCCUGGUAG